AGUGAACGCUGGCGGUAGGCCUAACACAUGCAAGUCGAACGGCAGCACAGUAAGAGCUUGCUCUUACGGGUGGCGAGUGGCGGACGGGUGCGGAAUACAUCGGAAUCUACUUUUUCGUGGGGGAUAACGUAGGGAAACUUACGCUAAUACCGCAUACGACCUACGGGUGAAAGCAGGGGAUCUUCGGACCUUGCGCGAUUGAAUGAGCCGAUGUCGGAUUAGCUAGUUGGCGGGGUAAAGGCCCACCAAGGCGACGAUCCGUAGCUGGUCUGAGAGGAUGAGCAGCCACACUGGAAAUGUGAACGGGUACAAACGCCUAGGGGAGGCAGCCGUGCGGAAUAUUGGAGAAUGGGUGCAGGAUUGAUCAAGCCAUACCGCGUGUGUGAAGAAGGCAUUCUGGUUGUAAAGCGAUUUUGUUCGGAAAGAAAAGCAGCAGGUUAAUACACGACAAUAAUGACGGUACCCAAAGAAUAAGCACCGGCUAAAUUCGUG
Molecule: ribosomal RNA, 492 nt
Filed under: uncultured bacterium
Lineage: Bacteria
Description: partial 16S ribosomal RNA
Rfam family: Bacterial small subunit ribosomal RNA
Source: RNAcentral